GACGAACGCUGGCGGCGUGCUUAACACAUGCAAGUCGAACGGAAAGGCCCUGCUUUUGUGGGGUGCUCGAGUGGCGAACGGGUGAGUAACACGUGAGUAACCUGCCCUUGACUUUGGGAUAACUUCAGGAAACUGGGGCUAAUACCGGAUAGGAGCUCCUGCUGCAUGGUGGGGGUUGGAAAGUUUCGGCGGUUGGGGAUGGACUCGCGGCUUAUCAGCUUGUUGGUGGGGUAGUGGCUUACCAAGGCUUUGACGGGUAGCCGGCCUGAGAGGGUGACCGGCCACAUUGGGACUGAGAUACGGCCCAGACUCCUACGGGAGGCAGCAGUGGGGAAUAUUGCACAACGGACGGAAGCCUGAUGCAGCAACGCCGCGUGCGGGAUGACGGCCUUCGGGUUGUAAACCGCUUUCGCCUGUGACGAAGCGUGAGUGACGGUAAUGGGUAAAGAAGCACCGGCUAACUACGUG
Molecule: ribosomal RNA, 468 nt
Filed under: uncultured bacterium
Lineage: Bacteria
Description: partial 16S ribosomal RNA
Rfam family: Bacterial small subunit ribosomal RNA
Source: RNAcentral